GACGAACGCUGGCGGCGUGCCUAAUACAUGCAAGUCGAGCGAUGAAGAUUGGUGCUUGCUCCAAUUUGAAGAGCAGCGAACGGGUGAGUAACGCGUGGGGAAUCUGCCUUUGAGCGGGGGACAACAUCUGGAAACGAAUGCUAAUACCGCAUAAUAACUUUAAACAUAAGUUUUAAGUUUGAAAGAUGCAAUUGCAUCACUCAAAGAUGAUCUCGCGUUGUAUUAGCUAGUUGGUGAGGUAAAGGCCCACCAAGGCGAUGUUACAUAGCCGACCUGAGAGGUGGACCGGCCAAUUGGGAAUGGAACAAGGCCCCAAAUCCCUCGGGAGGCAGCCAGAGGGGAACUUUGGCAAUUGGCGGAAGGCCUGACGAAGAAAGCCGGGUGGGGGAAGGAAGGUUUCGGAUCGGAAAACUCUGUUGGUAGGGAAGAACGUUAGCGAGAGUGGAAAGCUCAUCAAGUGACGGUAACUACCCAGAAAGCGACGGCUAACUACGUG
This 496-nucleotide ribosomal RNA is filed under the name uncultured bacterium. RNAcentral describes it as "partial 16S ribosomal RNA". It matches the Rfam family "Bacterial small subunit ribosomal RNA", at positions 28 to 507 of the family's 1533-position model. The record is from RNAcentral.